CAGCCGAGCCAGCAGCAGCACAGAACUGGAAUUGCCUUGGACGGCCACAGCUCUGCAUAUCCCCCAGGAGUGUGGACAAGAAAAAAUAAACACAAUUAGAGUUCACGACAAUGGGCCCCGAUGGAAGAUCAGUAGGAUGAAAAAUGAAUGCGGAUGAAGCUACGACCCAUCCAAAGCUAUGAUUCUCAAGAUAACUGUUGGCCACGAGGUCGUCACUCUCUCCCAACAGCCAUCCCAGCAGGAUGGGCAGUCCAGGGGCCAGCUGGUCCCACUGCUGGAGCAGAUCACACAGGACGGCCAGGGCCAGGGCCAGAGCGAUGGAGGCAUCCACCUGGCAGAAGGCAAACUCUGCAAAGACAGGAGAAAGAUCUCCUGGGCGCAAGACACAUCCUAGAGCAUCGGCAAGCUUUUCCUUAAAGGGCCAGAGAGUCAGUAUUUUAGACUUUGCAAGCCUAUACCUCCUCAACUCAGCUGAAAGCAGCCAUAGACAAUUUGUAAACAAAUGGUUGUGGCUGUGUUCCAAUAAAACUUUAUUUAUGGACACUGAAAUUUGAA
This is a long non-coding RNA of Symphalangus syndactylus (siamang), 555 nucleotides long. RefSeq lists it as uncharacterized. The record is from RefSeq and is a predicted model, not a curated record. NCBI's taxonomy places the organism in Eukaryota, Metazoa, Chordata, Mammalia, Primates, Hylobatidae.